Molecule: unclassified non-coding RNA, 349 nt
Filed under: soil metagenome
Description: partial contains 5.8S ribosomal RNA, internal transcribed spacer 2, and large subunit ribosomal RNA
Rfam family: 5.8S ribosomal RNA (bases 1-120)
Source: RNAcentral
GAUGAAGAACGUAGUGAAAUGCGAUACGUAAUGUGAAUUGCAGAAUUCAGUGAAUCAUCGAGUCUUUGAACGCACAUUGCGCCCCCUGGUAUUCCGGGGGGCAUGCCUGUCCGAGCGUCAUUGCUGCCCUCAAGCACGGCUUGUGUGUUGGGCCUCCGCCCCCCGGCUCCCGGGGGGCGGGCCCGAAAGGCAGCGGCGGCACCGCGUCCAGUCCUCGAGCGUAUGGGGCUUCGUCACCCGCUCCGUAGGCCCGGCCGGCGCCCGCCGGCGACCCCCCUCAAUCUUUCCAGGUUGACCUCGGAUCAGGUAGGGAUACCCGCUGAACUUAAGCAUAUCAAUAAGCGGAGGA